UGCUGUGUAUGGGGGAAGGAUCACCUCCCUUCAGGGUUCAUGUAGGACACUGCAUAGUUUCAUAUUCCUUAGGUAGUUCCAACUUGAGCUCAGGUUGAGAAAACUUGUGGAUGUUCAAGAGGCCUGAACAUAGACAGAACUCAGAAACUGCAGUAGAGCAAAGAUGUCUGGACCCUUUGCAAUACACAGGGGUAUACAGGAACCUUACAGUGGCCAAAAUGGGAGCCAUGUUCUGUUGGCAAGGAACUGAUAAAGACAAAAGCAUGUCUUAAAUUUUAUAUUUAGGCUAUAAUUAUCUUAUUCAGUUUCUGAUACAGUUCACAGACCUUUUUAUAAUUUGAUUUCCAUUAUUGAUGUGCAGCCCCACAAUGAGUUUCUCAGAUACAUUGCAGGGUGAAAAAGAAGCCAAAGUCAGGACAGUUUUGUCAUCAGAGGGAGCAAUUGUGGAGCUACACCAUAAACUUUUUCCUAUCAUAAGCAGCUAAACCUUAUAUCUAUUCAGAGGACACGUUAUGGUUCUGCAUCCUUUAUAUGUAGUAACUCCAAAAAAUAAAAAAUCAUUUAGAUCAUACAAACAAUGAGUUUUCUCCUUUCUCUACCUAAGACUAUUUAAAAAAUGUAAUUUCUGCUCCUUCUUAAUAACUACCUGUGGAUCAGACUGAUGGUUAGGUCUGUCCCUCCUAAAAAAGCACAAAUUUUUGGGCAAGUUUAUCAGGAAAGAAAGAGCCGCUAUCUACAAUGAUAGGGUUACAAUGCUGGGUUACAACCUCUUCCAGAAUUGCUUCUGUAUUUUACAUGAAAUGGUUGCUGGAUAAAAUCCUUGAAACUGGUCUUGAGUUCUUGACAGGUUGAUACUUUAACUACUCCCUGGUGAUUCCAGUUUACUCUCCUUGGGAGGCAACGAACAAAAGCCUUCCUUGCAGAGCAGUACCCAGUUCAGCAGGAGGGACUGACAAAUGCUUUCAGCUGCUCAAUUGUACAUGGCUUAAUGGAUGGGAAGAUGUGAGUUUUCUUACCACCAGAAGCCUUUUGGCACAGUGCUACUCAUCCUGAUGGCUGUCCUAGGGCUGGAGCUGUGUAAAGGAUGGAAAGGAAAUUUCACCUUCAUCUUCCCAGCACUCUUUUUUUUCUUUUUUUUUUUUUUUUUUUUGUUAAUUUCCCUACCAAAUAUGGUGCUGUGAUGAGCAAGUAUAAAUCUUUUAGCAAGACUGUGCAUGUGCAUAUGAGAGUGCACAUGGAAUAAAUAGCCUAUUACAAUGUAGGAGUGCUUCA
Molecule: long non-coding RNA, 1272 nt
Filed under: Cyanistes caeruleus (blue tit)
Lineage: Eukaryota; Metazoa; Chordata; Aves; Passeriformes; Paridae
Description: lncRNA (ENSCCEG00000019899.1)
Source: RNAcentral